This 742-nucleotide ribosomal RNA is filed under the name uncultured archaeon. Its description in RNAcentral is "bacterial SSU rRNA". It matches the Rfam family "Archaeal small subunit ribosomal RNA", at positions 109 to 853 of the family's 1478-position model. The record is from RNAcentral.
CUACCCAAAAGUCCGGGAUAACCCCGGGAAACUGGGGAUAAUACCGGAUAGAUCAAACUUGCUGGAAGGCUGUUUGGUUGAAACUUCCGGGGCUUUUGGAUGGGUCUGCGGCUGAUUAGGUUGUUGCCGGUGUAACGUACCGUCAAGCCUGUAAUCAGUACGGGUUGUGGGAGCAAGAGCCCGGAGAUGGAUUCUGAGACACGAAUCCAGGCCCUACGGGGCGCAGCAGGCGCGAAAACUCUACAAUGCAGGCAACUGCGAUAGGGGAACAUCGAGUGAUCCUCAUAUUGGGGGUCUGUCCACCCGUCUAAAAAACGGGUGUUAGCAAGGGCCGGGCAAGACCGGUGCCAGCCGCCGCGGUAAUACCGGCGGCUCGAGUGGUGGCCGAUAUUAUUGAGUCUAAAGGGUCCGUAGCCGGCUUUGCAAGUCUCUCGGGAAAUCCAGCGGCUUAACCGUUGGUCGUCCGGGGGGUACUACAUUGCUUGGGACUGGGAGAGGUAGGAGGUACUCAGGGGGUAGGAGUGAAAUCCUGUAAUCCUCUGGGGACCACCGGUGGCGAAGGCGUCCUACCAGAACAGGUCCGACGGUGAGGGACGAAAGCUAGGGGCACGAACCGGAUUAGAUACCCGGGUAGUCCUAGCCGUAAACGAUGCUCGCUAGGUGUCACAACAGUCGUGAACUGUUGUGGUGCCGUAGGGAAGCCGUGAAGCGAGCCACUUGGGAAGUACGACCGCAAGGUGAA